Long non-coding RNA from Gossypium arboreum, 1346 nucleotides. RefSeq lists it as uncharacterized. The record is from RefSeq and is a predicted model, not a curated record. The transcript is spliced from 7 exons. NCBI's taxonomy places the organism in Eukaryota, Viridiplantae, Streptophyta, Magnoliopsida, Malvales, Malvaceae.
GGUAUUACAACCACAUUCCCUCACAUCCUAUAAUAGCUAUUUAGCGGUGAGGGCUCUGAAUUGCUAUUCAAGACAAAGGCUGAAUACAUUUUCAGAUUUUGGGACCAAAAUAGCCUGCUUUCUUCUCCCAACAAAUCUGCUCCAGAUUUCUUUCAACCUUUUUCCCCAAAUCAAGCAUCCAUCCAUCCGCUCUUCAUCUUCAUCUCCUCAAAGAAUUUUAGAUCCCUUGGAAGAAGGUUUCAAGCUUCUCCCCAUUGCUAAUAGAGGGCAGGUAUUAUUUCAAAUUAAUGACAGUCAGUCUGCUUGACUGAAGUGCUACACAUUCUGUCUGUUCUCCUGAGUUGUUAAGUUUGCUUUGUUUGCCAGUUGUCAUUAAUUCAAAUUAAGGACGCCGUCUAUGUUUCUUGUUAAAAAGUUUGGCAUUGAUCAUAACGAUGCUUUUGCAUUCUGGGACUGGGUUGGCGGUCAUUACAGUGGUUAAUGAACUGAGCUGCUAAACUUCUCAACUUGAGCAGCGUCUUCCAACACCAACAGCUACUGGUGGAUCUCUGCAACCGCAUAAAAGGACUGCUCUUAUUGUGGUUUUUAAUGGGAACUUCAAGCAUUGAUCAACAUUUCCAUUCAGCUCCUUUUAAGAAUAAUAUGUUAUAUAUACCUGAAUUUAGAUUGUGCGCCAAUUGAUGGUGUGCUGCUUCCUUACGAGGCUGGUGAAAGGAAAAUCUGGAACAAAUGGCUAACACGAGUUUUAUCAACUAGUCAACCAGUUAUGUCAGGUUUUUUCCAAUCAAGUGUUUCUUCUCAGAGUUCUUGAGGAACCAAAAGGAAAUGGGUUUCAGAAGAAGAUGCUGCGUUGGUUGCUUGUAUGGUCGACUUGCACAAUGCUGGAACCUUUAAUGCGGAUACGGGAUUCAAAGCUGGCUAUUUAAAUGAGUUAGAAAAAAUGGUAGAAAAAGUUUUACCCAAUGCAAUGUUGAAGGCUAAACCUAAUCUUGAAUCGAGGAUUAGGACAUUGAAAAGGGAUUGGUCAAUCAUUUAUGACAUGCUUACACCAAACCUUUCUUGGGAAAUACAUGCAGCCAAAAAGCAGUUUUCCGGAACUCUAGUCUGCCGGUAAGGACUACUUUAUUCCUUCAUCUAUGUUUCGAAGAAUACUUGAGCGAUUCCCAGUGUGACUCAGUCCAACAUGAACUGUUGACUUGAUGCUGAGAGAGAUUAUUUUUCUUUUUGUUGACCAAUAAAUUUGAACCACGUAUUUAUAGACUAAACUUCAAAACAUAAUACAUUGUAUUAAUUACAGCAGGGAAUCCUGGAAGCAAUGGUUUCAGUGUCAUGAUUCAUCUGAUAAA